This 251-nucleotide long non-coding RNA is filed under the name Elaeis guineensis (African oil palm). RNAcentral describes it as "long non-coding RNA (EGUI_LNC082786)". Lineage: Eukaryota; Viridiplantae; Streptophyta; Magnoliopsida; Arecales; Arecaceae. The record is from RNAcentral.
GAGGGCGUUCACAUGUAAAGGUCAAUAUUUCAGUUACUUAUCACUCAUUUAGCUGAGCUCGUUAUCACAGCCAUCACAGUAGAUAAGUCAAAUAGUAUUAAUAAAUUUCUUUACUUACUUUAAAUUUUUAUAUUAAGAAGCUUCACAUAGUUAGGCUUGAGUCAGAGAAAGGAGAUCUAGGAGUCAAAAGUCAAUCUUCCUAUCUGAUGGAUGGGAUGGAGAUAUAGAUAUAUCCGUAUCAUCGAAUGAGA